CUAAGUAUUGUUGUUGUUAUUUUACAGAUGAGGAGACCCUAGGCACAGCAUGUAAAACCGUUCCAACUCACAUCUCCCUGUGUUGCAGCAUUAGAAGCCGAACCUGUGUUUUCUGGCUAUGAAGACAAGCCUCUUAAUCACGCUGCUACAUACAGAAAGGUCUCGGACCCCUCUCAAGUCUUGUGGGGAUGUGAGAGGAUGACACGAAGAGACUGAGAAGGGUUUAUUAAUGGAGUAAGAGUUAAAGGAGGAACAUGACGCCGAGAACGGAUGCGUGAGAACAUCUGAUGGCUUUCUAUGAUGUGAAUGGUUGAAUAAGUAAAUAAAUGGGAGAAGAGACGAUAUCCCAUACAGAAGAAUGCUGAAUGAUUUACACUCACUCAGAGAGGUGGACGAUGUUUCUCCACCCCGAGACCUAACCCCAGUGUGACAAUGAGGAAACCUCAGUGAGCUUUUAGGAGAGUGGGACUCGCCAGUAACCGCACUGACUGCUGCUCUGUCUGACCGCUGUGCCUCAAACUGUCAAGAACAUGAAUGUAUCCCUCACAUCAAACUCUAGUCUCUCAGGUAAAACAGAAACUUGGUAAAAAUAAAAAGCUAAAUGAUACAAACACAAAAGAAAACUUUGGUGAUUU
Non-coding RNA from Manis javanica (Malayan pangolin), 635 nucleotides. The record is from RefSeq and is a predicted model, not a curated record. Lineage: Eukaryota; Metazoa; Chordata; Mammalia; Pholidota; Manidae.